UACAGAGGUCUCAAGCGUUGUUCGGAUUUAUUGGGCGUAAAGAGCUCGUAGGUGGCUUGUCGCGUCGUCCGUGAAAACCCGGGGCUCAACCCUGGGCCUGCAUUCGAUACGGGCAGACUAGAGUUCGGUAGGGGAGACUGGAAUCCUGGUGUAGCGGUGAAAUGCGCAGAGUAAUCAGGAGGACACCGUGGCGAAGGCGGGUCUCUGGGCCGAAACUGACGCUGACGGAGCGAAAGCGUGGGGAGCAAACAGG
This 253-nucleotide ribosomal RNA is filed under the name uncultured bacterium. RNAcentral describes it as "partial 16S ribosomal RNA". It matches the Rfam family "Bacterial small subunit ribosomal RNA", at positions 524 to 776 of the family's 1533-position model. The record is from RNAcentral.